UCGCCACCCUCCCUGGGGGAUCCUGUACUGAGCUGCCCCGAGGCCCUGCCUUGUGCCCCACUCGGGGCAGCUCAGUACAGGAUGCGUCGGGGUGGGAGUCAGCCAGCGGCGA
This 112-nucleotide microRNA precursor is filed under the name Dasypus novemcinctus (nine-banded armadillo). RNAcentral's name for it is "microRNA 486-1 (ENSDNOG00000036533.1)". The stretch from base 18 to 85 matches the Rfam family "mir-486 microRNA precursor family". Lineage: Eukaryota; Metazoa; Chordata; Mammalia; Cingulata; Dasypodidae. The record is from RNAcentral.